CAGUCGCCGCGGUAAUACGUAGGUGGCAAGCGUUGUCCGGAAUUAUUGGGCGUAGAGCGCGCGCAGGUGGUUUAAUAAGUCUGAUGUGAAAGCCCACGGCUCAACCGUGGAGGGUCAUUGGAAACUGUUAAACUUGAGUGCAGGAGAGAAAAGUGGAAUUCCUAGUGUAGCGGUGAAGUGCGUAGAGAUGUGGAGGAACACCAGUGGCGAAGGCGACUCUCUGGUCUGUAACUGACGCUGAGGAGCGAAAGCGUGGGGAGCGAACAGGAUUAGAUACCCCUGUAGUCCCUGUCUCUUAUAC
RNAcentral lists this ribosomal RNA (301 nucleotides) under uncultured bacterium. Its description in RNAcentral is "partial 16S ribosomal RNA". It matches the Rfam family "Bacterial small subunit ribosomal RNA", at positions 509 to 807 of the family's 1533-position model. The record is from RNAcentral.